UUCAUGCACAAGAGAAGAGCCAUGAUGUCAUUGAUCCUCUUUGGAAAUGAAGGACAAAUAACAACAAAGCCUGAUCUAUGUCUCACAGGAAGAGGGGGAUUCUGUAAGGAACGUAUGGUUAAUAAAAUAUUUCAUUGUGGUUAUUGCUUGUUCUUUACAAGAAGGCAUUUGACUAUGUAGAACAAAAUGCUUCCUUGAAGAUUCUCCUCCAAAAAGGUACUUCGUAGGUUGACAUUAUGAGAAAUGAGGCAAUAGAAGAAAAAUAAUGAAUUUCAGAAAUAUUGUCCUUAUGGAAAGAAAAUAGAAACUAGGAGAAGCUUGCUAUUUAUUUCCUAGGGAAGGUGAGUUUGAAUCUUUUCUUACACAGAAGCAGACCUUAUUGUCACUUCUUUGCCAUUUUUUAAUCAUGCUGCCUGUACUUGGGCUAUCAUUUUCAUCUUUCUCUUCCCCACCUCAUUUCCACCAGAAACUUGGACUAUACCCCUGAGAUGUCAGGUUAAACUAGGUGAGCUUUCAACUUAUCUUUUCCAAAACCAGGUCUCUUAGUCACUUCCCAGCUAUUUCUAAAUCUCCCCCACCUAGUACUUUGUGGUUCCUGUUAAUGGAUUUUCUUCCCCUAUUAGAAAGUAACUUUUUUGAGUUCAGGGACUAUCUUUCUUGUAUAUAUUUAUAUCUUCACCUCUUUACUAUACUGUGUGCAACAUAUUAGGCAUAUAAAUUCUUUCAUCAUCAUCAUCAUUAUCAAAUUUAGUCCUAUUUGAAAGGCAUCAAAGUAUAGUAAAGUACAUAGUUUAGAAUCAAGAAUAUUUGAGUUCAUAUCAUGAUACAUAUUAUCUGUGUUUACUAUGGAAGAAUUACUUAACUUCUCAAAGAUUCAGUUUCUUCAUCUGUGAAAAGG
RNAcentral lists this long non-coding RNA (898 nucleotides) under Monodelphis domestica (gray short-tailed opossum). Its description in RNAcentral is "lncRNA (ENSMODG00000046110.1)". The record is from RNAcentral. Lineage: Eukaryota; Metazoa; Chordata; Mammalia; Didelphimorphia; Didelphidae.